CAGUCGCCGCGGUAAUACGAAGGGCGCAAGCGUUAAUCGGAAUUACUGGGCGUAAAGCGCACGCAGGCGGUUUGUUAAGUCAGAUGUGAAAUCCCCGAGCUUAACUUGGGAACUGCAUUUGAAACUGGCAAGCUAGAGUCUUGUAGAGGGGGGUAGAAUUCCAGGUGUAGCGGUGAAAUGCGUAAAGAUCUGGAGGAAUACCGGUGGCGAAGGCAGCCCCCUGGACGAAGACUGACGCUCAGGUACGAAAGCGUGGGGAGCAAACAGGAUUAGAUACCCGUGUAGUCCCUGUCUCUUAUAC
RNAcentral lists this ribosomal RNA (301 nucleotides) under uncultured bacterium. RNAcentral describes it as "partial 16S ribosomal RNA". It matches the Rfam family "Bacterial small subunit ribosomal RNA", at positions 509 to 807 of the family's 1533-position model. The record is from RNAcentral.